Molecule: ribosomal RNA, 128 nt
Filed under: Chattonella marina
Lineage: Eukaryota; Raphidophyceae; Chattonellales; Chattonellaceae
Description: partial small subunit ribosomal RNA
Rfam family: Eukaryotic small subunit ribosomal RNA
Source: RNAcentral
GCACCUACCGAUUGUAUGAUUCGGUGAAAAUCUCGGACUAUGGCUUGAAACUUUAUUGUGACUUGCCGUUAGGAAGUUAUUUAAACCUCAUCAUUUAGAGGAAGGUGAAGUCGUAACAAGGUUUCCGU